UCUUAAACACCUAUUAUACAAAAUUUGUGAUCUACGAAGAUCCAACGGUCGGAUUUUCAAUCCGUUUUUGGAAACGUGAUCCUUGCACUCGGAUCUACGUUCUUACCGAUUGUUUUAAGGUGUUUGAGCUUAUUGGAGCUUAUUUGAGGCUAGCCAAACUUUGGGUUGGAGUUUGGUGAAUUUGGCGGCACUUUGGGGGAGUGAGCCUAGGACUUGUUAGUGUUGGUGUGCAAGCAGUCAAGGUGAGUAUUCUACUCACUGAGAAAAUAUAUUUUACGUUUUUAUAGAAAUGCAAAUGAUAUAUGAUUUUCUUACUGAACUAACGAUAUGUUAACACGUAUGUUUUGGAUGUUUUAAGUAGAUUCAAUUAUGUUGAAAUAUCAAUGAUGUUACGAAAUGAUGCAUGAAUGAAAGGUUUUGAAUUGAUUUGAAGUGUGUUGCAGUUGGGAUUUAAUUAUGCAAAGUAGAAUGAUGAAUUUUCAUGUUGAUUGGUUCAUGGUAUUUGAAGAAAGCAUAAUUUGCAAAGAAUAGGAAUAUAGAGUUAGAAAGCAUGAUUUGCAAAGGAUAGGAGUAUAGAGUUUGAAUUGUAAAGCAUAAAGCAUGAACACAUAAUAAUGGAAGAGAGCCUAAUGCUCAUAAUAACGAAGAGAGCAUAAGGCUCAUAAUAAUGGAAGAGAGCGUAAGGCUCAUAAUAAUGAAAGAGAACGUAAGGCUCAUAAUAACGAAGAGAGCGUAGGGCUUAUAAUAAUGGAAGAGAGCGUAAGGCUCAUAAUAACGAAGAGAGCGUAAGGCUCACAAUGAAUAAAAAGACUAUCAUGAGCAUGCAUAACAUUGUCUAAAUUGUAUGAUGUUUUCAUGAUAAGUAUAUUGUAGUUUUGCUAGACGUAUUAGUAUGCAUAAGAGUCUUGAUAGAAAAAGAACUUAUGUAUAUUGGUAUCGGAUAGUUGCAUGAUUUAAAUGCCAUUGUUUUCUAUAACGAAUCUCCUACGAAUAAUAUU
Molecule: long non-coding RNA, 998 nt
Organism: Alnus glutinosa
Lineage: Eukaryota; Viridiplantae; Streptophyta; Magnoliopsida; Fagales; Betulaceae
Exons: 3
Source: RefSeq, a predicted model, not a curated record